UUGAGAACCCGACCUUGGGGCCCUUUGAUUGGAAGAACGUGCAGCGCACCUCGGCAUUGAGGGCGGCUUCCUCGGGGCGCGGCGCCGCCCGCCUCUGAGUGCGCCUGCCUCUCUCAAUUGGGCAAAGCACUCCAGACCUUUUGGAAGAGUGACACCAAAGGCAAGCACCUGCUUGGCAGGCCCCUCAGCUUCUACGCAAGUAUAAGUCUCCCAAGUACUAGAAUGCAGAGUUUCCUGGCUAUGGGAUAAGCACAACUUGGACCAAAAUGCCCUGUAUU
RNAcentral lists this long non-coding RNA (278 nucleotides) under Homo sapiens (human). Its description in RNAcentral is "HSALNT0305155". Lineage: Eukaryota; Metazoa; Chordata; Mammalia; Primates; Hominidae. The record is from RNAcentral.